This 301-nucleotide ribosomal RNA is filed under the name uncultured bacterium. RNAcentral's name for it is "partial 16S ribosomal RNA". It matches the Rfam family "Bacterial small subunit ribosomal RNA", at positions 509 to 807 of the family's 1533-position model. The record is from RNAcentral.
CAGCCGCCGCGGGAAUACGUAGGGUGCAAGCGUUAAUCGGAAUUACUGGGCGUAAAGCGUGCGCAGGCGGUUUUGUAAGACAGAGGUGAAAUCCCCGGGCUCAACCUGGGAACUGCCUUUGUGACUGCAAGGCUAGAGUACGGCAGAGGGGGAUGGAAUUCCGCGUGUAGCAGUGAAAUGCGUAGAUAUGCGGAGGAACACCGAUGGCGAAGGCAAUCCCCUGGGCCUGUACUGACGCUCAUGCACGAAAGCGUUGGGAGCAAACAGGAUUAGAUACCCCUGUAGUCCCUGUCUCUUAUAC